Long non-coding RNA from Gossypium raimondii (Peruvian cotton), 1406 nucleotides. RefSeq lists it as uncharacterized. The record is from RefSeq and is a predicted model, not a curated record. The transcript is spliced from 3 exons. NCBI's taxonomy places the organism in Eukaryota, Viridiplantae, Streptophyta, Magnoliopsida, Malvales, Malvaceae.
UCUUGAGUUAUAUCUACAUAAUUUUUCUGAUGACUUAGGUGCAUGUUUGUUAUCUUUCUUAUACAGGGUUGCACCCUAUCCUUCUAUGGAUUCAUCAGUUUCUAUUAUCAAAUAAUCUGAGUCUAAUGGUAUUUCCAUUUUAGAAAUCUUCUUUAUCUCUUCUUUUAUUCUAAUCAUUAUCUUUAUAUCUUCCUGGUCGAAACUUUUAAGGCCGUUUUUCUUAGGGCUCGUUCUUCCACAUGUUUUAGAAGGACUUUUUCAAUAAAAAGUCUUUUUCUCUUAAAAGGGAUGAAGAACGGCCUCCUUUCACAUAAAAAUUUCACCAUCAGAAAAGGGCUUUUCUCCAGAUGAAGAAGCUUAAAAUUUAUCCUUUUCUUCAGCUUGAAGUGCUUUUGGCUGAUAAUUGACCAAAUUAACCUGUCUUCUCCCACAAACGUUCUUUCCCCUCUGCUGGUUCUUUGGAGCUGUAUACCCUUUUUUUCACAUUUUCAGCUUUCAAAGCUCUUUCCUAUUCUUUGUUCCUCUUCCGUAGGUGAGAUUUUAUUUUCUUCUUCUUCUCUUUAAUUAGUUCCUCUUCUGCAGGUAAGUAAAAAAAAUAGCUUUGAAAGAGGGAGAUUUUUGGCUUUUGUGCCUCUUUUACUUUACUGUUUUGCUCUUCUUUGUGCCUCUGCUACUUUGCUCUGCUUUGCUUUUGUUUUUCUAUCUUAUCAGAAUGGUUUGAGCUCUAGGAAGUCUAAUUUGAUUUUUCAUUCAGGAUAGCUGCUACUGCUUUGAGGCAACCCUCCAGUGCUUAAAAGCUUAAAAGGCACCCAAGAGAAGGUACCUUGGUUUGUUUAUUUGGAGCUGUUUUUGACGCCCUAAAAACUGAUUAUAUUGAUUCUUUGGUUUUGUUAGAGAGAUGUAUUUUGGUCACUACUAUUCUAUACUUUGCUUCCAGCCAACCUUUUUGUAUCCUAUGUAUGCUUUUGUGGUGCCUUGGUAAUUUUAUGUGGUGCCUAUGUGUUGUGAUUAUAUUGAUACUUUUUGUUGCGUUUUGUUAGAGAUGUACUUUUUAAAAUUCUUUUGACCUUUUCUAGAGAUAUGCAUGUCCUAAUGAAAUUGCAUUAUAUCUGAUCCAUGGCUCAAUCAUUCUGGAGGCACUUGCAUUCAUCGUAAAAGAGUCAGCUUGAAGUCAAAGUCCAUCUCAGGUGUAAAACCUGUGCUCCCCAAUUCUUCUUUCCUUGUUCUUUGGAAUUGCCCCUGAUGUCGUUACUUAUAAUGCCCCUGAUGUCGUUACUUAUAAUGCCUUCAUGAACGGGAUAUGUAAAGAAGGGAGGGUAGAUGAUGCUUUUAGAGUAUGUGAUAAUAUGAAUAGUGAAGGACUGGCAUUAGCUGAUAUUACCUAUACGACUUUGAUCCAUGAGUGU